UUUUCCGGCAUCUACUUGAUUUUGAAUGACUUUUGGUCCCUUCUUUGUAUCAUCUGCAAUAAGUAAUUGUAAAAUUUUCAAGCGUUGUAUUCUGCAACGCUCAUUCACAUAUUUUUUUCCUCCAUGGAGAAAUGUUCCAGGCAACAACACUUGACAUGUGAUAAUUAUUGUUUCAUAAUAUGAAUGCACUAUGUUUGAUGAUUUGCAGGAUACAAAUGAUAGUUCAUCUUUCAUAAACAUCAGAUGAUGGAUUAAAAAUCUGGAGUCUGCAUCCCAUAUAUAUCAUAUUGGCUAGAGUGCUAUCUGACGCGCCUCAAUUAAAGGUAGAAUUUCUAUUGCUUUAUCUUUCAGAUUUUACUAAUGACAGCACAAUUACUCCAGAAUUUAAAAAGCCUUUUACAAUCUGUGUGGUAGUUUGUUGUUGGAUUGGUUCUUCACAUGAUGUUUGAGUAUCUGAUAUCAGUAUUAAAUUUUAUUUUUUGAGUAUCUGAUACCAGUAUUAACUAAAACAUUUAGCAAUUGUUUUGUACAGUUAUUAACAUUAGUACUUGGCAGUUUAUCGCUGCACUAAAGCUCGACUCUUCAAGACUUCAAGCACAGGAAACAAACAAGUGUAUUGAUAUUCUAAUCUUCCGUAAUUUAUAGUCAUAGACCUUCUUACCUUUUGACUUUUGUAGAGUACUUGUAGUUUAUUUGUUCUACCUUCCGUAAUUUAUUGAUAUUCUAACUUGAUUGUUUUAAAGUCGGAUAUGCAUGGGUGAAUAUCCCCUUCCUGCGCUGCAAAUAUUCUAAUCUAUAAAUCUUUUAGCAGUACUGUAAGCCACUGACCUAGUGGUUUGAAUUUCACAUUAUUGUUUCACAUUAGUUGCCUGCGGCCCUGCUCCUUUCCUAUGGUCAAGAGGUUUCCAGGGAAGCUGUUUUGACUUUUGUUGAAGUAAAGCUUUCUUUUGUUUCUCCUUGUGUAGUUAGGCAAGCAAAUGCAAAUAUCAAGAGCCUUAUAUUAUCAGAAACUUUUGUUAUGUUUCUCAAAGAUAAAUCAGACUAUCAGAAACUUUUGUUAUGUUUUUAUUUAGAAUCCAAAUAUUAAGAGCCUUAUAUUUAUGUGUUAUUCCUAUCCUCUACCACUUGUUUGAAUUUUUAAAUAAUGCUUUGUCCAACAUUCUGAAAAACUAGAAUGAAAUUUGGAUUUCCUUUUCUCCUAAGAGCUACAAAGAACUGAUGGCUAAGUGCAAUUCUCUAGGGAGGGGAAAAGCUCGUUCACUGAGAAAGCUUGAAAAUGUAAAAGAAAAUAUUGUAAAGCUCAAGUGAUUAGGUGGUUGCCGACUGCCGAGUGUUUUAAAUAGGUAUGCUCAAAAUCAAGCAUCCAAGGUGCAAUCAGACUCAAACUUGUUGGUUGAUUGGUUUACAAGUGGACGCUACGAAAGCGAAGAAAGAUGGAAUUUUGAAUUAUGCAGGAGCGAAAACAAUUUUUUCUAUGAAGAUGGCCAGCCUUUGUUUCUUUAUAUGGGCUCCAAGGAUGUAAGCCAUUAUUGUGGAUCUUGCAGAAAAGGCUGUUUCCAUGUGCUUAUCAGUUGUUCUCUGGUCACUUUCAGGUCUUGUGAUUCAAGUUCUAGCUGCAUGAUAGAGAGAAGAUAAAUUCUGCAGCAAGUUGUAUCCCAUGUUCCACGGAGAUUAUUCUAGAAGCUCUAAAUUUACAAGUAAAGAGAAAUGGCGACAAGUCUUUUUUCAAUGCUUUUAGUGUAAAACAAUUUCGAUAGGAAGUGCGUCGUGAUAGUUAAUUAUAUAAUUUUAUAUUGUAUGGUUAUUAUUAUUUUUUCCCAUUAUUUGAACAAAUCCAUUCAAGACUCAUAUUCUGUAUUCUAUACGUUAAUGAUUAAUGAAAAGAUUCCAUU
Molecule: RNA transcript, 1892 nt
Organism: Spinacia oleracea (spinach)
Lineage: Eukaryota; Viridiplantae; Streptophyta; Magnoliopsida; Caryophyllales; Amaranthaceae
Gene name: urease accessory protein D-like
Exons: 5
Source: RefSeq, a predicted model, not a curated record